CUCGUCUUGCCUUCAGUUUUGUAUUAGUGUUUGGUUAAACAACAGUAAAAUUUAAAAUUUUGUUAAUAUUACGCCAGGAUUGGAAAUACAGUGUGCAGAUAGUUCCAGAAAUUUGGAUCUGGUGACAUCAGCGUCAAGAGAGAAGAGGGUUCUGGAUGAAAAUCAUUCAAUGCAGACACUGUGAGACUGUUGAAGCAUGAAAUUUUUCUAAAAGCAAGAGAUUUUAUAGUUGGCCAAUCCACCGUAAACCAUUAUCAUAUAAAAUAUAUAAAUACAGUUUAUUGUU
This is a long non-coding RNA of Cimex lectularius (bed bug), 286 nucleotides long. RefSeq lists it as uncharacterized. Lineage: Eukaryota; Metazoa; Arthropoda; Insecta; Hemiptera; Cimicidae. The transcript has 2 exons. The record is from RefSeq and is a predicted model, not a curated record.